RNAcentral lists this ribosomal RNA (515 nucleotides) under uncultured bacterium. RNAcentral describes it as "partial 16S ribosomal RNA". It matches the Rfam family "Bacterial small subunit ribosomal RNA", at positions 28 to 523 of the family's 1533-position model. The record is from RNAcentral.
GAUGAACGCUGGCGGCGUGCCUAAUACAUGCAAGUCGAGCGAAUGGAUUAAGAGCUUGCUCUUAUGAAGUUAGUGGCGGACGGGUGAGUAACACGUGGGUAACCUGCCCAUAAGACUGGGAUAACUCCGGGAAACCGGGGCUAAUACCGGAUAACAUUUUGAACCGCAUGGUUCGAAAUUGAAAGGCGGCUUCGGCUGUCACUUAUGGAUGGACCCGCGUCGCAUUAGCUAGUUGGUGAGGUAACGGCUCACCAAGGCAACGAUGCGUAGCCGACCUGAGAGGGUGAUCGGCCACACUGGGACUGAGACACGGCCCAGACUCCUACGGGAGGCAGCAGUAGGGAAUCUUCCGCAAUGGACGAAAGUCUGACGGAGCAACGCCGCGUGAGUGAUGAAGGCUUUCGGGUCGUAAAACUCUGUUGUUAGGGAAGAACAAGUGCUAGUUGAAUAAGCUGGCACCUUGACGGUACCUAACCAGAAAGCCACGGCUAACUACAUGCCAGCCGCCGCGGUAA